RNAcentral lists this ribosomal RNA (379 nucleotides) under Amniculicola longissima. Its description in RNAcentral is "bacterial SSU rRNA". It matches the Rfam family "Eukaryotic small subunit ribosomal RNA", at positions 21 to 374 of the family's 1831-position model. Lineage: Eukaryota; Fungi; Ascomycota; Dothideomycetes; Pleosporales; Amniculicolaceae. The record is from RNAcentral.
UAGUCAUAUGCUUGUCUCAAAGAUUAAGCCAUGCAGUCUAGUAUAGCAUUAUACCGUGAACUGCGAAUGGCUCAUUAAAUCAGUUAUCGUUUAUUUGAUAGUACCUUACUACUUGGAUAACCGUGGUAAUUCUAGAGCUAAUACAUGCUAAAAACCCCGACUUCGGAAGGGGUGUAUUUAUUAGAUAAAAAGCCAAUGCCCUCCGGGGCUCUUUGGUGAUUCAUAGUAACUUAACGGAUCGCAUGGCCUUGCGCCGGCGACGGUUCAUUCAAAUUUCUGCCCUAUCAACUUUCGAUGGUAAGGUAUUGGCUUACCAUGGUUUCAACGGGUAACGGGGAAUGGGGCGGGGGCGGCGGGCCGGGCGCGGGGCGCGGCGGGC